RNAcentral lists this ribosomal RNA (484 nucleotides) under uncultured bacterium. Its description in RNAcentral is "partial 16S ribosomal RNA". It matches the Rfam family "Bacterial small subunit ribosomal RNA", at positions 30 to 507 of the family's 1533-position model. The record is from RNAcentral.
AUUGAACGCUGGCGGCAGGCCUAACACAUGCAAGUCGAGCGGAUGAAGGGAGCUUGCUCCUGGAUUCAGCGGCGGACGGGUGAGUAAUGCCUAGGAAUCUGCCUGGUAGUGGGGGAUAACGUCCGGAAACGGGCGCUAAUACCGCAUACGUCCUGAGGGAGAAAGUGGGGGAUCUUCGGACCUCACGCUAUCAGAUGAGCCUAGGUCGGAUUAGCUAGUUGGUGGGGUAAAGGCCUACCAAGGCGACGAUCCGUAACUGGUCUGAGAGGAUGAUCAGUCACACUGGAACUGAGAAACGGUCCAGACUCCUACGGGAGGCAGCAGUGGGGAAUAUUGGACAAUGGGCGAAAGCCUGAUCCAGCCAUGCCGCGUGUGUGAAGAAGGUCUUCGGAUUGUAAAGCACUUUAAGUCGGGAGGAAGGGCAGUAAGUUAAUACCUUGCUGUUUUGACGUUACCAACAGAAUAAGCACCGGCUAACUUCGUG